Molecule: ribosomal RNA, 410 nt
Filed under: Eublaberus posticus
Lineage: Eukaryota; Metazoa; Arthropoda; Insecta; Blattodea; Blaberidae
Description: partial 16S ribosomal RNA
Source: RNAcentral
UUACGCUGUUAUCCCUAAGGUAAUUUAGUCUUAUAAUCACUAAUAAUGGAUCAAAACUAUACAAAUAUGUAAUUAUUAAUUAAAAAGAGUUUUAUUUAUCUCAUUAUCACCCCAAUCAAAUAACUACUAAUAUUAAUAUAAUUAAAUACAAAAUAAUACUAAUAAAUAUUAAACUCUAUAGGGUCUUCUCGUCCCAUAAAAAUAUUUAAGCUUUUUUACUUAAAAAUUAAAUUAUAUAAAAUAACUUAAAGACAGCUUUUAUCUCGUCAAACCAUUCAUUCCAGUCCUCAAUUAAAAGACUAAUGAUUAUGCUACCUUUGCACGGUCAAAAUACCGCGGCCAUUUAAAAUUCAUUGGGCAGGUUAUACUUCUUAUACUAUACAAGAAAAGAUGUUUUUGUUAAACAGGCG